Molecule: ribosomal RNA, 487 nt
Filed under: uncultured bacterium
Lineage: Bacteria
Description: partial 16S ribosomal RNA
Rfam family: Bacterial small subunit ribosomal RNA
Source: RNAcentral
UGGGGAAUUUUGGACAAUGGGCGAAAGCCUGAUCCAGCAAUGCCGCGUGUGUGAAGAAGGCCUUCGGGUUGUAAAGCACUUUUGUCCGGAAAGAAAUCCUUGGCUCUAAUACAGUCGGGGGAUGACGGUACCGGAAGAAUAAGCACCGGCUAACUACGUGCCAGCAGCCGCGGUAAUACGNAGGGUGCAAGCGUUAAUCGGAAUUACUGGGCGUAAAGCGUGCGCAGGCGGUUUGCUAAGACCGAUGUGAAAUCCCCGGGCUCAACCUGGGAACUGCAUUGGUGACUGGCAGGCUAGAGUAUGGCAGAGGGGGGUAGAAUUCCACGUGUAGCAGUGAAAUGCGUAGAGAUGUGGAGGAAUACCGAUGGCGAAGGCAGCCCCCUGGGCCAAUACUGACGCUCAUGCACGAAAGCGUGGGGAGCAAAACAGGAUCAUAAUACCCUGGUAGUCCACGCCCUAAACGAUGUCAACUAGUUGUUGGGGAUUC